UGGGCCAAGAGUGACGGGCGAUUUGUGCAUACUUGAUUUCUCCUUCUAAAUAUAUUUUUUUUUCACAAAUUUAAUAUCAAGUCCUAUUUUUAUCUAUUUUUAAUUAGAUGGCUAUAAUUUUUAUUUUUGUAUCCCACUUAACUCUUAGUUAUUAACUCUGUCUCGAUUUGUUUUCUCCCCGAGAGGGGCCUUAAUUUUCUUUUAGAAUAAAAUUUUUAAACAAUGAUAUAGAAAUUUAUAAUCUAAGCUUUUUUCAAUCGUGGGCUAUCUAUUACGGAGCAGGAUCCCCUGCAUAGCUCUAGUACCGCCAUUUAACAUAGGUUUGGUUUCUUUAACUACUCGCAUAUCUUUUUAUAAAA
This 359-nucleotide ribosomal RNA is filed under the name Aculops sienses. RNAcentral's name for it is "partial small subunit ribosomal RNA". The record is from RNAcentral. Lineage: Eukaryota; Metazoa; Arthropoda; Arachnida; Trombidiformes; Eriophyidae.